AAGAUAUCCUUAUUGCUGGAUGGUAGCUCUGGUCGUAGUGGACCAUAUCUGCAAAUGCUUCUGAACAUUGACAGAAUUUCUAAAGAUGACUGAGAAUAUUACUGAAGGAUCCUACAUGGAAGCUGUCUGAUUACACUGAGUGAUUCCUCUGGUGUGGUGUACCUCAGAGAAAAUAAACACUGUUGCAAGAGCUCAGAAGAUAUCCUUAUUGCUGGAUGGUUGCUCUCUGGUCGUACUUGAGCCCCCUGGACCAUGUCUGCAAAUGCUUCUGAACAUUGACAGAAUUUCUAAAGGAUCGCUGAGGACUCCCCCUCCAUGCGUGACAUCUUUGAGAAAUUUCCACGCUUUCUGGAGAUGCCAAGUUUGACUGGAACCAACUUUGCAUCCCUCGGCACUGACACUGAGAAGGUUUCAAGGACCCCACUACUAGGAGGCGAGAGUUUGACACGGCAGUGUCAUCACUGCCAUGGAUGACAAUGUAACCAUUCCUGUUGCUGAUUGCCUGACUUGCGCAGUGACAAGCUUUUCAUGCUCUACUGGGUGUGUAACUUGGCAUAUCCACCACAGUUUAACUCUGUUUUUGCCUCUUUUGAAUAUGUGUACGAUAUAACCAUCUCAACCAAAAAGUGGGCCAAGGUACUGGAACAUUUCUCACUUCAAGUUGCUCUGUAGUCACUGGACAUUUUUUAAAACAUCUACGCAAACACCACCACUCCACACCAUGUGUAUUUUAAUUACUUCUGAUUCCACUGACAUGCAGACUACAUCCUAUGCAGAUUCAGGUAAUUUACCUGGUACUGGAGAAACAGCAUUGUAUGCCAUUCUAAGUGAUACUUGCCUCCUUGUUUUGCAAAAAUGUACUGUUCUUUGAAUAUAACUUAAAGUAAGAUCAUGUUGACUCUGAGGUUUUCUCCGGUUGUCAAGCACAACCUUAACGUUUUGUAAGUAAGUAAUAGUCAC
Engraulis encrasicolus (European anchovy) is the source of this 960-nucleotide long non-coding RNA. RefSeq lists it as uncharacterized. The record is from RefSeq and is a predicted model, not a curated record. The transcript is spliced from 5 exons. Lineage: Eukaryota; Metazoa; Chordata; Actinopteri; Clupeiformes; Engraulidae.